Molecule: microRNA precursor, 64 nt
Filed under: Myotis brandtii (Brandt's bat)
Lineage: Eukaryota; Metazoa; Chordata; Mammalia; Chiroptera; Vespertilionidae
Description: mir-9242 microRNA precursor family
Rfam family: mir-9242 microRNA precursor family
Source: Rfam by way of RNAcentral
GGCCUCCCUCUUUGCGACUAUCGAUCAUGGGGCUCCGUGAUCGAUCGCCCCGCAGAGGGAGGCC